UCCAUGGCUUUUGUUGGAGAGGCUAUUCUCUCUUCUUUCUUUGACACCCUGUUCGACAAGUUGAUCUCUUCUGACCUGCUCGAUUAUGCUCGCCAAGUGCAAGUUCAUGCUGAGCUCAACAAGUGGGAGAAAACACUGAAGAAAAUUCAUGCCGUGCUGGAGGAUGCGGAGGAGAAGCAGAUGGAAAAGCAAGUGGUGAAGAUAUGGCUUGACGACCUCAGAGACUUGGCUUAUGAUGUGGAGGACAUCCUGGACGAAUUGGCCACUGAAGCUUUGGGGCGGAAGUUGAUGGCGGAAACUCAACCCAGUACAAGUAAGUUCCGGAGCCUUAUCCCUUCUUGUUGUACUAGCUUCACUCCAAGUGCUAUUAAGUUCAAUGUUGAGAUGAGGUCCAAGAUAGAGAAGAUCACUGAAAGGUUGCAAGAUAUUUCUUCACAGCAAACUAAUCUCCUUUUAACUGAAAAAGUUACCGGGAAAAGGUCCGCCAAACCAACAGAAAUACUACCCACCACUUCUUUGGUAGAUGAAUCGCGUGUUUAUGGUAGGGAAACAGAUAAAGCAGCCAUACUUGACUUGUUGCUCCACGAUCAUGAGCCAAGUGAUGACGCAGUCCGUGUCAUUCCCAUAAUUGGCAUGGGAGGCGUGGGCAAAACUACUCUUGCUCAGCUUGCCUACAACGAUGACAAAGUGGAGAGUCAUUUUGAUCUAAGAGUUUGGGCUUGUGUCUCUGAUGAUUUUGAUGUCUUGAGGGCAACAAAGACAAUUGUUCAGUCUGUUGCUUCUGAUAUGUCCGAUUUCAACGAUCUCAACCUGCUUCAAGUCAAACUGAAAGAGAAACUCUCUGGAACAAAGUUUCUUCUUGUUUUAGACGAUGUUUGGAAUCAGAAUUGUGAUAAAUGGGAUACUUUGUACGCUCCAAUGAGGACUGGAGCACAAGGCAGCAGGGUUAUUGUCACAACUCGUAAUCAAGGGGUUGUAUCAGCCAUCGGAGCCAGCUCAGCCUAUCCCCUCAAGGAGUUAUCCAAUGAUGAGUGUUUGUCUUUGUUUGCCCAGCAAGCAUUAGGUACAGGAAACUUCCAUAAUCAUCCACACCUGAGAGAUGUUGGUGAAGAAAUAGUGAAAAAGUGCAAAGGGCUACCUUUGGCUGCAAAGGCCUUGGGAGGAAUGUUGCGCACAAAACUGAAUCGUGAUGCGUGGAAGGAUAUACUGAAAAGCAAGAUAUGGGACUUACCAGAUCAAGAGAAUAACACUAUUCUUCCAGCUCUCAAAUUGAGUAAUCAUCAUCUUCCUUCACAUUUGAAGUGCUGCUUUGCUUAUUGCUCUAUAUUUCCAAAGGACUACGAAUUCGAUGUGGAUGAAUUAGUCUUGCUGUGGAUGGGAGAGGGAUUCUUGCAGCAAGUAAAAAGACAGAAGCAAAUGGAGGAGAUAGGCACCGAAUUCUUUCAUGAAUUAUUUGCAAGGUCAUUUUUCCAACAAUCAAAUCAUAGUUCAUCACAAUUUGUGAUGCAUGAUCUUGUUCAUGAUCUUGCUCAAUUCGUUGCUGGAGGUGUAUGCUUUAAUUUGGAGGAAAAAAUUGAAAAUAAUCAGCAACAUACUAUUUGUGAAAGAGCUCGUCAUUCAGGUUUCACUCGGCAAGCUUGCGAGGUUGUUGGAAAAUUUGAAGCCUUUGAUAAAGCGAAGAACCUACGCACGUUAAUAGUAUUAUCAAUCAUGAAGUAUCCAUUAGGAUAUAUAUCUAAGCAGGUGGUACAUGACCUAAUAAUGCCAAUGAGAUGCUUAAGGGUACUAUCUUUGGCUGGUUACCGCAUGGGUGAAGUACCAAGUUCGAUUGGUGAGUUAAUACAUCUGCGUUAUCUCAAUUUUUCCGAAUCUAAGAUACAAAGUCUACCUAAUUCAGUGGGCCAUCUUUAUAAUUUACAAACAUUGAUAUUACGUGGUUGUUAUCGACUUACCCAAUGGCCUAUUGGGCUUGGAAAGCUGAAAAACCUUCGACACCUUGAUAUUACGGGUACAAGUGAACUACGAGAAAUGCCUUUCCAAUUUAGCAACCUCACAAAUUUGCAAGUGUUGACUAGGUUCAUUGUGAGCAAAAGUAGAGCAGUUGGAAUUGAAGAACUCAAGAAUUGUUCGAACCUCAAAGGAGUGCUUUCUAUUUCUGGGUUGCAAGAGGUAGUGGAUGUUGGAGAUGCAAGAGCUGCUAAUUUAAAAGAUAAAACAAAAAUUGAAGGGUUGACCAUGGAGUGGAGUAAUGAUUGUUGGGAUGCACGAAACGAUAAACGUGAAUUAAGUGUCUUGGAGUCCCUGCAGCCUCGUGAAAAUUUAAGAAGGCUCACAAUUGCAUUUUAUGGUGGAUCCAAAUUUCCAAGUUGGUUAGGAGAUCCCUCAUUCUCAGUAAUGGUGGAACUAGCUCUCAAAAAUUGCAAAAAAUGCAUGUUGUUACAAAAUCUGGGUGGACUAUCGGUGCUCAAGGUUUUGUGUAUUGAAGGUAUGAGCCAAGUUAAAAGCAUAGGUGCUGAAUUUUAUGGAGAGAGUAUGAAUCCUUUUGCAUCUUUGAAGGAGUUGAGGUUUGAGGAUAUGCCAGAAUGGGAAAGUUGGUCUCAUUCUAAUUUCAUUAAGGAAGAUGUGGGUACAUUUCCCCAUCUUGAAAAGUUUUUGAUAAGGAAAUGUCCAAAACUGAUUGGGGAAUUACCGAAAUGCCUGCAGUCCCUAGUAGAGCUUGAAGUGUCAGAAUGUCCGGGAUUGAUGUGUGGGCUUCCAAAACUUGCAUCUCUCCGUGAAUUAAAUUUAAAAGAAUGUGAUGAGGCAGUGUUGGGAGGUGCUCAGUUUGAUCUUCCAUCCCUCGUUACUGUAAAUCUCAUCCAGAUUUCAAGAUUGACAUGUUUGAGGACCGGAUUUACUGGAUCCUUGGUAGCCUUGCAAGAAUUGAAGAUACACGGUUGUGAUGGGCUGACAUGUUUGUGGGAGGAGCAAUGGCGGCCUUGCAAUCUUAAAAAAUUGGAAAUACGUGAUUGUGCUAAUCUGGAGAAGCUGUCGAAUGGAUUGCAAACUCUCACACGUCUUGAAGAGCUGGAAAUAAUGGCAUGCUUCAAACUAGAGUCAUUUCCUGAUUCGGGUUUCCCACCAAUGCUAAGACGCCUUAAGUUGUUCUAUUGUGGGGGUCUAAAAUCGCUGCCUCAUAACUACAACUCGUGUCCGCUUGAAGUCUUGACGAUUAAUGGUUCUCCAUUUCUCAAAUGCUUCCCAAAUGGUGAGCUACCCACCACACUCAAGAAGCUUUAUAUUUGGGAUUGUCAAAGUCUUGAGUCUCUACCAGAGGGGCUGAUGCACCACAAUUCGACCUCCAGCAGCAACACUUGUUGUCUUGAAGAUUUGUGGAUAAGGAAUUGCUCCUCUCUUAAUUCCUUUCCAACAGGGGAGUUACCCUCUACUCUCAAGAAACUUACUAUUGCUCGAUGCACAAACUUGGAGUCAGUGUCACAGAAAAUUGCACCCAACAGUACAGCCCUAGAGUAUUUACAACUUGAGUGGUAUCCAAAUCUGAAAAGCCUACAAGGAUGCCUUGACAGCCUUCGGCAGUUGAGAAUAAAUGUUUGUGGUCUGGAGUGCUUUCCAGAAAGAGGCUUGUCCAUCCCUAACCUUGAAUACCUUGAAAUUGAGAGAUGUGAGAAUCUUAAAUCUCUAACACAUCAAAUGAGAAACCUCAAAUCUCUGCGCAGCCUGACCAUAUCCGAAUGCCCAGGAUUGGAGUCCUUUCCGGAAGAGGGUUUGGCCCCUAACCUAACAUCACUUGAGAUCGCUAACUGUAAGAAUCUGAAAACUCCCAUGUCUGAGUGGGGCCUUGACACCCUCACCUCUCUUUCUAAAUUGACUAUUAGAAACAUGUUUCCAAAUAUGGUUUCCUUCCCCGAUGAAGAGUGUCUUCUUCCCAUUUCUCUCACCUCCCUUAAAAUCAAAGGAAUGGAAUCCCUAGCCUUCUUGGCUCUCCGCAACCUCAUCUCUCUUCGAUUCUUACAUAUCAUAAAUUGCCCUAACCUCCGGUCCUUAGGGUCGCUUCCUGCAACACUUGCAGAACUUGACAUAUAUGGUUGUCCUACCAUAAAAGAAAGAUACUUGAAGGAGGGAGGAGAAUAUUGGUCCAACGUCGCCCACAUCCCCCGCAUUAAUGAAGGGUUGUAGGUGGAUUGAAUCUUAGAUCACUCUCCCUUCCUUAAUUUCAACUAGGUAAGCUUAAUUUUUGCUGAAAGUUUCUUCAAGUGCUAUUGAUCUCAAGUUGUCCUAAGCUUUGGUCCUUUUUGCUGAAGAAAGAGCUGAAUGCAACAACUAGUGCUUGAAAUCCAGAAUUCUCCUGUUGUGAGACAAAAUUGCUUAAAGGAGAAAGGAGAAAGGAGAAAAUUUGGAUCAGCAUUGCCUAAAUCUCCAACAUUCAGCAACAUGACCUCAUUGGAAAUAUGAAUUUAUAUUGAAUUGUGUUAUUCCUACUCUAGAAGUUGAGAGAUAGAUCAUUCUUUCUUUCACCCAGGAGGGAGAAAAAUAAUGCAGUGGCAGACUAGGUUCCUAACAAAUGUAUGAUGGUGGUAGGUGGUGGAAGCUUGAUGGAUUUGCCAUACAAUGACUUUUCUGCUAGUUGAUGGCAUAAAAAUGAAAGGAAUUUUGAUGCUUAUGGCUCUCCAAGAAGAACUCAACUUAAGGACGUCAAUGUUGUGCUAUUACAUUUGUAGUGGCUCAAGCAAAAUCAACCAUAUUUGGUUUUGGUGCUUAGUGUAGAAUGUAAGAAAUGUGAAACUUGUUUUCUCCUUAGACAUUAGCUGCAGAUGUUUCUACAGGAUUUGGUUCUCUGGUACGGUGAUUUGAACAUUUUUAUUUUCUUAAAAGUUGUAAUUCCUCAAGUGUUUUUUUCCUUUCUUUUUAAAAAGAAAUUUGUGAGAAUAUAGCAAUAUCCUUUUUACCA
This is an RNA transcript of Vitis riparia (riverbank grape), 4948 nucleotides long. It is a transcript of the gene named putative disease resistance RPP13-like protein 1, with no coding region annotated. The record is from RefSeq and is a predicted model, not a curated record. The transcript is spliced from 5 exons. Lineage: Eukaryota; Viridiplantae; Streptophyta; Magnoliopsida; Vitales; Vitaceae.